This 207-nucleotide ribosomal RNA is filed under the name uncultured bacterium. Its description in RNAcentral is "partial 16S ribosomal RNA". It matches the Rfam family "Bacterial small subunit ribosomal RNA", at positions 568 to 774 of the family's 1533-position model. The record is from RNAcentral.
CACGUAGGCGGCCUAUUAAGUGUGGAGUGAAAUCCCACGGCUCACCCGUGGAACUGCUUCGCAUACUGGCAAGCUCGAGGACGGUAGGGGAGAGCGGAACUCUUGGUGGAGCGGUGAAAUGCGUAGAUAUCAAGAGGAACACCGAUGGCGAAGGCAGCUCUCUGGUCCGUUUCUGACGCUGAGGUGCGAAAGCUAGGGUAGCGAACG